This 484-nucleotide ribosomal RNA is filed under the name uncultured bacterium. RNAcentral's name for it is "partial 16S ribosomal RNA". It matches the Rfam family "Bacterial small subunit ribosomal RNA", at positions 30 to 507 of the family's 1533-position model. The record is from RNAcentral.
AUUGAACGCUGGCGGAAUGCUUUACACAUGCAAGUCGAACGGCAGCACGGGGGCAGCCCUGGUGGCGAGUGGCGAACGGGUGAGUAAUACAUCGGAACGUGCCCGGUCGUGGGGGAUAACGUAGCGAAAGUUACGCUAAUACCGCAUACGAUCUGCGGAUGAAAGCGGGGGACCUUCGAGCCUCGCGCGAUCGGAGCGGCCGAUGGCAGAUUAGGUAGUUGGUGGGGUAAAGGCCUACCAAGCCGACUAUCUGUAGCUGGUCUGAGAGGACGACCAGCCACACUGGGACUGAGACACGGCCCAGACUCCUACGGGAGGCAGCAGUGGGGAAUUUUGGACAAUGGGCGCAAGCCUGAUCCAGCCAUUCCGCGUGCAGGACGAAGGCCUUCGGGUUGUAAACUGCUUUUGUACGGAACGAAAAGGCUCUGGCUAAUACCUGGGGCUCAUGACGGUACCGUAAGAAUAAGCACCGGCUAACUACGUG